This is a long non-coding RNA of Vitis riparia (riverbank grape), 607 nucleotides long. RefSeq lists it as uncharacterized. Lineage: Eukaryota; Viridiplantae; Streptophyta; Magnoliopsida; Vitales; Vitaceae. The transcript is spliced from 3 exons. The record is from RefSeq and is a predicted model, not a curated record.
UUGGAACUUGAAGGAAACCACCCCCCCACCCCUUUUUCUCUCCACCAAACUGCCAACAGACAUAAUGGCUGAGCUGCACGCAGGCAUUGUUGAUCAACAAACAGUCUUCAAACUUGUUCAACUGUCUCUCACUUGAACCCAAAUUUUCAGGCUCUUAAAUUCUCAUCAACAACUAGGAUAUGAAGAAAUGAAUGUAACAUCUUUUUCGUCUAUCUUGUAUUUCACUGACAAGUACAGCAGUUCUUUACUUCUUUCUUACGGCAGGCUUUCGUGCAUAGACUGAAGAGCAUGGAUCAUGUCCAUGCCAUUUCUUGUCUUCACACUGAGAAAUAGGACAGAAAAGGGCGGAAAGGUGACAAGCAUUUGAAUGAAUGAAACUUGCAUUGACAUGGAUGUGGAGGUAGCGACCACAGAAGAUGGCCAACCGGUGGGUCUGCCUACUUGCUCGGGUUGGGUGGCAGAAAGGUUGUGCGCCAACAGGAUGUGGAUUGAUUGAACGUUAUAUAUGGUUGUGACCUAAUUGAUGUAAACCACAACCAUAUUUUGGAAUCGAAAUAAAUAGUGCUUAUACCUUAGGGUUUGGGCUCGACUUAAGGCUCGACAAACU